Molecule: long non-coding RNA, 332 nt
Filed under: Prunus persica (peach)
Lineage: Eukaryota; Viridiplantae; Streptophyta; Magnoliopsida; Rosales; Rosaceae
Description: long non-coding RNA (PPER_LNC005827)
Source: RNAcentral
AUCUAUUGGCUAACUGUGCAGAACCGAAGCAUAAUUGAAAUAGAAAUGGUUAUUGAACCACCCAAGCGCAGAUACAGAAAAGAUUGUCCAAUAAUCGACAAAUUCAUCAACCAAGAGAAGUAAACCGAAUGUGGGCCCAAAAAAAUUAAGAGAAAAAACAGGAAUGAAGAAUCGCAAAUUUCAACAAAUUUCAACCACACAAAGAAGAACAAAAUUCAAUCCCCAAUUCACUGAAUACAAACCUCUCUGAAAUCAAAUAAGAAACACAUAAAGUGCACACAAAAAAACCAACUAAGAAAGAAAGAUCUGUUGGGCUUACCACAGAGCAAGAG